AAUGAACGUUGGCGGCGUGGAUUAGGCAUGCAAGUCGAGCGAGAAACCAAUUGGCUUGCUAAGAGGUGGACAGCGGCGAAAGGGAGAGUAACGCGUGGUUACGUGCCCUCGGGACCGGGAUAGUGUUGGGAAACUGGCAGUAAUACCGGAUAACAUCUAAGGAUCAAAUGGUGAGAUUCCGCCCGAGGAUCGGACCGCGUACUAUUAGCUUGUUGGCGGGGUAACGGCCCACCAAGGCUGCGAUGGUUACCGGGUGUGAGAGCAUGGCCCGGCUCACUGGGACUGAGACACUGCCCAGACAUCUACGGAUGGCUGCAGUCGAGAAUCUUCGGCAAUGGACGAAAGUCUGACCGAGCGACGCCGCGUGCGGGAUGAAGGCCCUCGGGUUGUAAACCGCUGUCAGUUGGGAGGAAAUUCAUGGGGGUUCUCCCCUGUGAUUGACCGAGCUUCAGAGGAAGGACGGGCUAAGUUCGUG
This 475-nucleotide ribosomal RNA is filed under the name uncultured bacterium. Its description in RNAcentral is "bacterial SSU rRNA". It matches the Rfam family "Bacterial small subunit ribosomal RNA", at positions 29 to 507 of the family's 1533-position model. The record is from RNAcentral.